ACGCUCGACACCUACUGGAGGCAGCAGUGGGGAAUAUUGCACAAUGGGGGAAACCCUGAUGCAGCGACGCCGCGUGAGCGAAGAAGUAUUUCGGUAUGUAAAGCUCUAUCAGCAGGGAAGAAACUGACGGUACCUGACUAAGAAGCACCGGCUAAAUACGUACCAGCAGCCGCGGUAAUCUGAGCGGGCUGGCAAGGC
RNAcentral lists this ribosomal RNA (198 nucleotides) under uncultured bacterium. RNAcentral's name for it is "partial 16S ribosomal RNA". It matches the Rfam family "Bacterial small subunit ribosomal RNA", at positions 328 to 539 of the family's 1533-position model. The record is from RNAcentral.